UACGAAGGGGGCUAGCGUUGUUCGGAAUUACUGGGCGUAAAGCGCACGUAGGCGGUUUGUUAAGUUAGGGGUGAAAUCCCAGGGCUCAACCCUGGAACUGCCUUUAAUACUGGCAAUCUCGAGUCCGAGAGAGGUGAGUGGAAUUCCGAGUGUAGAGGUGAAAUUCGUAGAUAUUCGGAGGAACACCAGUGGCGAAGGCGGCUCACUGGCUCGGUACUGACGCUGAGGUGCGAAAGCGUGGGGAGCAAACAGG
This 253-nucleotide ribosomal RNA is filed under the name uncultured bacterium. RNAcentral's name for it is "partial 16S ribosomal RNA". It matches the Rfam family "Bacterial small subunit ribosomal RNA", at positions 524 to 776 of the family's 1533-position model. The record is from RNAcentral.